UUACUUCAGCAAUACAUACACUAAAAUGUAAACUAUACAGGAAGGAUUAGCAUGGCCUCUACACAAAGAUAACAGUCAAAUGCAGGAAGCAUUGCAUAUUUCA
Molecule: small nuclear RNA, 103 nt
Organism: Trichosurus vulpecula (common brushtail)
Lineage: Eukaryota; Metazoa; Chordata; Mammalia; Diprotodontia; Phalangeridae
Source: RefSeq, a predicted model, not a curated record